CCUACGGGAGACUGCAGUGGGGAAUAUUGCACAAUGGGGGAAACCCUGAUGCAGCGACGCCGCGUGAGUGAAGAAGGAUUUCGGGAUGGAAAGCUCUAUCAGCAGGGAAGAAAAUGACGGUACCUGAAUAAGAAGCCGCGGAUAACGACGUGCAAGCAGCCGCGGCAAUACGUAGGGGGCAAGCGUUAGCCGGAUUGACUGGGGGUAAAGGGAGCGUAGACGGCUGCGCAAGUCUGGAGUGAACUCCCCUGGCUUACCCCUGGAACUGCUUGGGAAACUGUGCAGCUGGAGUGCAGGAGAGGUGAGCGGAAUUCCUAGUGUAGCCGUGACAUGCGU
Molecule: ribosomal RNA, 336 nt
Filed under: uncultured bacterium
Lineage: Bacteria
Description: partial 16S ribosomal RNA
Rfam family: Bacterial small subunit ribosomal RNA
Source: RNAcentral